Molecule: ribosomal RNA, 446 nt
Filed under: uncultured bacterium
Lineage: Bacteria
Description: partial 16S ribosomal RNA
Rfam family: Bacterial small subunit ribosomal RNA
Source: RNAcentral
CCUACGGGUGGCUGCAGUCGAGAAUCAUUCACAAUGGGGGAAACCCUGAUGGUGCGACGCCGCGUGGGGGAAUGAAGGUCUUCGGAUUGUAAACCCCUGUCAUGGGGGAGCAAAUUAAAAAGAUAGUACCACAAGAGGAAGAGACGGCUAACUCUGUACCAGCAACCGCGGUAAUACAGAGGUCUCAAGCGUUGUUCGGAAUCACUGGGCGUAAAGCGUGCGUAGGCUGUUUCGUAAGUCGUGUGUGAAAGGCGCGGGCUCAACCCGCGGACGGCACAUGAUACUGCGAGACUAGAGUAAGGGAGGGGGAACCGGAAUUCUCGGUGUAGCAGUGAAAUGCGUAGAUAUCGAGAGGAACACUCGUGGCGAAGGCGGGUUCCUGGACAUUAACUGACGCUGAGGCACGAAGGCCAGGGGAGCGAAAGGGAUUAGAUACCCGAGUAGUC